Maylandia zebra (zebra mbuna) is the source of this 149-nucleotide non-coding RNA. The record is from RefSeq and is a predicted model, not a curated record. Lineage: Eukaryota; Metazoa; Chordata; Actinopteri; Cichliformes; Cichlidae.
AUCUGGUGCAGAGAUUAUCAGACAAACAGUUUCCUCCACUGAGCCAGAGAGUGGAAACGAUGGAGUCUCUUAUUGAGCUGCUUUUGGAGACACUGGCUGAUCUGAGAGGCAGCGAGCUCAGAGACUUCAUCCAGAUCCUGGGAAUAAAA